GCCUUGAGCAAAAGAGCUUAGGGACAGUGCCCAGGCCCUGAUGUUCAAGCCCCAAUACUAGCCUUUAAAAAAUGGGGAAAAGGGGCUUAGGAGGUAGCCCAGUAGCUCAGUGGCAAAGUACAUGCCUAGAAAAUACAUCAUGGGUUCAAUUCCCCAGUAG
Molecule: long non-coding RNA, 160 nt
Organism: Perognathus longimembris pacificus (Pacific pocket mouse)
Lineage: Eukaryota; Metazoa; Chordata; Mammalia; Rodentia; Heteromyidae
Exons: 2
Source: RefSeq, a predicted model, not a curated record